RNAcentral lists this ribosomal RNA (396 nucleotides) under uncultured bacterium. RNAcentral describes it as "bacterial SSU rRNA". It matches the Rfam family "Bacterial small subunit ribosomal RNA", at positions 30 to 419 of the family's 1533-position model. The record is from RNAcentral.
AUUGAACGCUGGCGGCAGGCCUAACACAUGCAAGUCGAGCGGCAGCGGGAAAGUAGCUUGCUACUUUUGCCGGCGAGCGGCGGACGGGUGAGUAAUGCCUGGGAAAUUGCCCAGUCGAGGGGGAUAACAGUUGGAAACGACUGCUAAUACCGCAUACGCCCUACGGGGAAAGCAGGGGACCUUCGGGCCUUGCGCGAUUGGAUAUGCCCAGGUGGGAUUAGCUAGUUGGUGAGGUAAUGGCUCACCAAGGCGACGAUCCCUAGCUGGUCUGAGAGGAUGAUCAGCCACACUGGAACUGAGACACGGUCCAGACUCCUACGGGAGGCAGCAGUGGGGAAUAUUGCACAAUGGGGGAAACCCUGAUGCAGCCAUGCCGCGUGUGUGAAGAAGGCCUGG